Molecule: long non-coding RNA, 223 nt
Organism: Calliphora vicina (urban bluebottle blowfly)
Lineage: Eukaryota; Metazoa; Arthropoda; Insecta; Diptera; Calliphoridae
Exons: 2
Source: RefSeq, a predicted model, not a curated record
GAAAACGUUUAUGAUUAAAACAAAGGGAAUGGCAGAAGACGUCAGCGAAGUCAUCCGUAGUCUGAUGACGGAUGAACUUCUGGACAAAUUUAAUUGGGAAGGGCGGUGGGAGAAGAAAGCGCUUGGGAAUUUGACACUCUUCAAUAAGCUUUUAAGAGAUGUCUUUCCCAAGCAAUCUUCCAUCGAGUUUGAGAGGGGUUUGAGGAAGGCUGUGGACAAAAGC